UACAGAGGGCGCGAGCGUUAAUCGGAAUUACUGGGCGUAAAGCGCACGUAGUCGGCUUUGCAAGUCGGUUGUGAAAUCCCCGGGCUCAACCUGGGAACUGCAUCCGAGACUGCAUUGCUAGAGUAUGGGAGAGGAAAGCGGAAUUUCUGGUGUAGCAGUGAAAUGCGUAGAUAUCAGAAGGAACAUCAGUGGCGAAGGCGGCUUUCUGGACCAAUACUGACGAUCAGGUGCGAAAGCGUGGGGAGCAAACAGG
Molecule: ribosomal RNA, 253 nt
Filed under: uncultured bacterium
Lineage: Bacteria
Description: partial 16S ribosomal RNA
Rfam family: Bacterial small subunit ribosomal RNA
Source: RNAcentral